RNAcentral lists this ribosomal RNA (328 nucleotides) under uncultured eukaryote. RNAcentral's name for it is "partial 18S ribosomal RNA". It matches the Rfam family "Eukaryotic small subunit ribosomal RNA", at positions 1470 to 1796 of the family's 1831-position model. The record is from RNAcentral.
CCCUUAGAUGUCCGGGGCUGCACGCGCGCUACACUGAAGGAAUCAGCGUGCUAAAACCAUUGUCGAAAGGCAUUGGUAAACCCAUUAAAAUCCUACGUGAUUGGGAUCGGGAAUUGCAAUUAUUUCCCUUGAACGAGGAAUUCCCAGUAAGUGUGGGUCAUAAGCUCGCGUUGAUUACUUCCCUGCCCUUUGUACACACCGCCCGUCGCUGCCCGGGACUGAGCCGUUUCGAGAAAAGCGGGGACUGCUGCUGUCGGGGCUUUCGGGCCUUGGCUUCGGUGGAAACCGCUUUAAUCGCAGUGGCUUGAACCGGGCAAAAGUCGUAACA